This is a long non-coding RNA of Felis catus (domestic cat), 1354 nucleotides long. RefSeq lists it as uncharacterized. The transcript is spliced from 3 exons. The record is from RefSeq and is a predicted model, not a curated record. Lineage: Eukaryota; Metazoa; Chordata; Mammalia; Carnivora; Felidae.
AAACAAACCUAAAAUAGCAUCAAGUAACCUACUUUCUACUUUUGGAAUCGCCCAAGAGCCAAAGGUGAAGACCUGACUUUCAUAAAAUAAACAUGUUUUAUUUGUAGGUACAUGGUUGUGUACUUUACAAAGUGAACAGCCAGCUCUACGCAGCGGUCCAGGUAUCGACAGUGGGAAACUGUCGGAAACAGCAUGAGAAUGCUCCAUUUUUACUGAUAUUCCUGAAUCUUCUUGCCUCUCUGGACAUAAAGUGGACCAAGUGGUACUGACUCAGUGAAGGCUCUUGGCUACUGCUGUUUGUAUGGAAGCCACAUCUCUAUAGCCUGUUAAGUCAGGGAAGCAGGAAAGGGCUGCUGACAGGAAUGGACUGGGCUGUUUUCUCAAAAAAAAAAAAAAAAAAUUACUUGGCCUUGACUUCAGGAAUACCUCCAUCCUUGUGGAAGACUCCUUAAUUUUUCCUAAGAGGUGAUAACCUUAGCCCACCUGCCUGUUCAAGACGAUGAAUUGAAUUUGGCAACACAGAAGAGCUACAGUCUAGGAGUCCAGGUUCUUUGUUGUUGUUAUUGUUGUUGAAGUAGGCUCCAUACCCAACAUGGGGCUAGAAUUAACGACCCUGAGAUCAAGAGUCCGACGUUCUACCAGUAGAGCCAGCCAGGCACCACUACAGUCUAGGUCCUUGUCAGAGAUUAGAACCUCAAAUUGCCGGCAGUCCAAAUCUCAUCAAAUAUUUGGUUGUGAGAAAUAAUACAUACAAAGGACGAUACAUGUAAUUGUAUCUAUACCUCUUUCUGGAUAUGCCAUAAUGGCUCUGGCCAAAGUCAGAACAGAAGAGAAGUAUAAACUUGAAUAACACCAUUUUGGACAAAUUAUACUCUAAUCUUGUUCCUCAGGCUUACAUUAUAUGGAAUAUUGACACGAAAUGUGGCAUCUAUCUUUAGUCAAGAAAGGCUGGUGAAAACUGUCAUUACAUCUGGGCCCUAUUCGAAAAGUUUUUCCUAGGUCAUCCUGCCUUGCCUGUGGGCUUUAUCUAUUUAUUUUUAAACUUAUCUUGAUAUAAUUUCAAACUUACAAAAAAUAUUUGCCAGAACAGUACAAGGAAUCCCUACAUAACCAUGAUGAAAAUUCACCAACUGUUUACAUUUUGCUUCAUUUGCUUUAGUAUUCUUUCGUGUUUUUAUAUAUGUGCAUACUCUUCCUGAGAAUAAGUUGGAGACAUCACCCUCCUACCCCUAAAUCCUUCAGGGUGCACCUCCUAAGGAAAAAAAAACGCACCCUUUUCUAUAACCACAGUACAAUUAUCAAGAUCACAAACUUUAUGAUAAAAACACUAUUAUCUAAUUUGCCCUUUAUUCAA